CUAACCUAACUAACCUAACCUAACCUAAACGUAACCCCCACUACCAAAUGACAACUUAUUUAAAUGCGCAUUACUUAACACUGGAUUUUUGUAAACUUUAACAUAACGUUUCACAAAAACAAAUGAUAGUAACUGAUCAAGUUUGGUAUUAAAAUUGUUAUAUUGAUAUGGGCUUAAUGUUGAUAUGUUUUAAAACCAUUAAAAAAUGGUUUAAUGUUUUUAGAGUCGUUUCAAAUUAGUUUCGAAAAGUCUUCUAAGUUCUAAUUCCCAAGAUAUAUUAUGUACAUUUUAUUCCAAUCCGUCUAUGAAUAUUCUUUUACAUAUGAAUAUAUAUAUAUAUAUUUAUAUUAUACAG
Molecule: non-coding RNA, 355 nt
Organism: Cinara cedri
Lineage: Eukaryota; Metazoa; Arthropoda; Insecta; Hemiptera; Aphididae
Source: the annotation of a GenBank genome assembly